RNA transcript from Osmerus eperlanus (European smelt), 3354 nucleotides. It is a transcript of the gene named 5'-AMP-activated protein kinase subunit gamma-2-like, with no coding region annotated. NCBI's taxonomy places the organism in Eukaryota, Metazoa, Chordata, Actinopteri, Osmeriformes, Osmeridae. The record is from RefSeq and is a predicted model, not a curated record. The transcript is spliced from 15 exons.
GAGAGACAGAGAGAGAGAGAGAGAGAGAGAGAGAGAGAGAGAGAGAGAGAGAGAGAGAGAGAGAGAGAGAGAGAGAGAGAGAGAGGAGUGGUGGUGUCCGGCGCUUAUUUGCAUCAGUUGUGCGAGGACCUUUCACGGACGACGUGUUGAAUUUCCAGCUUUCAAUGUCUUCCUCAACAAGUGUGUGAGCAAACACAGGCAUCAGUACUCUGCCAGACGAUCAUAACAUCUUGGGAACAUCCUCUGGACAAGCUUUGACACACCCCUGAAGAGCAGCUUUCGCAACUGGCCGUUCAUUCAAUCCAUGCAAAUGACUAGUAGGAAUAUAUCAGCAAAGCAAGACCGUGUCUGAAUGGCAGAAUUACUUAAUGGAAAAAGAGAAGGCUUGGGGAAAUUGUAAUCAUUAACACUACGACAACUCACAAAGGCUAUUCUGACCAGAUUGGACCGUCUGACAACAAUAUUCGUCCAGGACCACCAACAUCCAGAGGACCAGAACCUGUAACCCCACAACAGCCUCAGACCUCAGACGCUUCAAUGAAGGCCAGAGCUGUGCCCUCCCAGUGCCCCUCGGAUGGUAAUGGUCAUAUCUGGAUUCGAACCCUCAACCCGCUGCUCUCCAUGAAGAGGUUCGGCAGCCUGAGGCGGAGCAAGAAGCGCAAGGAGCAGGAUGGGUUGGCUGCAAGGCGUCAGUCCGAGCCACCUUCUCUACCUGUGUCUGGACUCUCCUCCUCACCAACCACCCCCACACAGGCCCCCAGCCAGCCCCUGUUCCCCCCUGAGGUCCACCACAGUGCCCCCGAGCGCCUAGAUGUCCGCGCCUGCUCUCGCUCGCUCUCCUCCCCCCCAAACACGGCCCAUCACCUCAACUUUCCCACCAAGCCCCCCAUUCCCUCCUCUAGCCCUCUGCCCAACACUACCUUACAAGUCUACGGUUUAUUCGAAGGCAUGCUGGAAAAACUUGAACUAGACGAUGAUGCUGCUGUAGAACCAGAGAGUGAUAUUUACAUGCGCUUUAUGAAGUCCCACAAGUGCUACGACAUUGUCCCCACCAGCUCCAAGCUUGUGGUGUUUGACACAGCACUACAAGUAAAGAAAGCAUUCUUUGCCUUGGUGGCCAAUGGGGUGCGCGCUGCUCCACUCUGGGACACUGAGAAGCAAUGCUUUGUGGGAAUGUUGACCAUUACAGACUUCAUCAUCAUACUUCACAGAUACUACAAGUCACCUAUGGUGCAAAUAUAUGAAUUAGAGGAACAUAAGCUUGAGACAUGGAGAGAGGUGUAUUUACAGGAGACCUUUAAGCCUCUAGUCAAUAUAUCACCUGAUGCAAGCAUAUUCGAUGCUGUCUACUCCCUGAUCAAAAACAAGAUCCACCGCCUCCCUGUCAUCGACCCUGUGACAGGGAAUGCUCUUUACAUCCUCACUCACAAGAGGAUCCUCAAGUUCCUCCAGCUCUUUGUGUGUGAAAUGCCCAAGCCAGCCUUCAUGAAACAGACCCUUGGAGAGCUGGGCAUCGGCACCUACAACCACAUAGCCUUCAUUCACCCCGACACGCCAAUCAUCAAGGCCCUGAACAUCUUUGUAGAGCGGAGGGUAUCUGCUCUUCCUGUGGUGGACGUGUCUGGGAAGGUGGUGGAUAUAUACUCUAAAUUUGAUGUCAUAAACCUGGCUGCAGAGAAGACGUACAAUAACCUGGAUAUCACAGUGACCCAGGCUCUCAAACAUCGCUCACAGUACUUUGAGGGAGUCAUGAAGUGUCACAGGCAGGAAACACUGGAGACAAUUGUGGACAGAAUAGUCAAAGCAGAGGUCCACCGGUUGGUGGUAGUGGAUGAGCACUCCAGCAUCGAGGGCAUCAUCUCUCUGUCAGACAUCUUGCAGGCCCUGGUGCUCAGCCCAGCAGGUAUAGACGCCCAGAACUCCUAACACCCCCCCCUCUCCUCUCUCUUUCUUUGUUCUGGAACCCUGGUCCCCUUCCCCACCCUGUUCCACUCUCCCAGACGUCUGCAGAGAGGAGUGCCUGCUGGAGUGAGGAGGAGGAGAGCUCUCCCAUAGAAGAGCUGGGGGGUCCACUGAGGUUUAAAGGCCUACUCGUACCACCCCAUGGCUGUUGUAGGGAAGCGGGAGAGGGUGGGAGGGGCCGGGGGUGCAGAGACCCCACACUGAUACACCCCAGCUGGGUAACCAAACGACUGGACGGAUGUCUUCCAAGAGGCUAAGCCCCCACACCAGAGGGUCCACCGCUUACUGUUGGAAAUUAAUUUAUAUUUUUGGACAAAUUGAUGACACACACACAAACGUACACGAACACACAUGACCAGCAUGAGUUGGACCUCUGGUUUCAAGCUGGUCUGGUUUUGGAGUGUGUGUGGAAGAAGAGAAAUAUGUGUUAGGUUUGGGUUUCCUGUGUCAAGCUGCUCUGUCAUGUUUCAGCAUUUCCUAAUCUAUAGUGUCAACUCCAAAAGGCUUGUGUCCUAGACGGAAUGAUGUCAUCAUCCUCCUGAGGAUUUUUCGCAAAGCGGCUUUAACAAUUCAAAUUAUUGUGAGGAAAUGUAUCGAGCACCUCAACAAUUUCAUACCCAAAGUGAAUAGCCCUGUAGAAUUGGAGAAUGAUGAGUUUUAACAGUGUUGUUCUGGUGAAAGCAGCAUUUGGGCAGAUAAUCAAUCCUAACUCGUUUUGUGCCUUUGUCAUGCCUUGCCCUGACCAAUGCAGAACAACCAUGGUCAUGCCAAGUAAAGACUGCUGUUUUUUAUUGAAACUAUAGAGAAACAUGAAUGUUUACUUGAUAACUUUAUUGGGAUUGGUGGGUGAGGGGAGUAUUUUUAGUAAUGUGCUUUGGAGGGACAGAAAAACAAACAAACAAAAAAACAUUAUUAUGCUAUUAUUUUUAUGCUUUUUUUUUUUCUCUCUUCUGUUUCCCCUAACUCAUUGUUGGCAAUCCCAGUGUUGAGAGCCAUUUCUUUUUCCUGCUGUAUGCAUCUGAAACACAGUUACCAAAACCAUGUUGAACCAAAUGGCGGCUCACAGCAGUGGGCCUCUACUGUGCCCUGAGCAUGCAGCUCAGACAGAACUCAUCUCGUGUUUCACUGUAAAUAAGAUGGUUUUUCAGGAAAAGUGCCAGAGCAAGCUUUAUUUUUAUGAAUGUUACAAAAAAAAUGUUUAAAAAGACUGAUGUUUUAAUAUUAUUUUUGAAAAUAUAUUGUGGAAACAUGUUAAAUUCAAUGUUUGUAUUCAGAUCAAGAUGUACUGUACAUGUGUAAGCAUGAGGAAAUACACUUUAACAGUUAUGAAUGUUGUUUGUUUUACCAUUUUGCAUUUUUAUGGUAACAGAAAAAUAAAUGACACUGAAUGUA